AUUAUUACGGUGAUUAUAUCAUUGAUAUCGUGAAGAAUUAAAGUUGAGGCUAAUGUUCAUCACCACACUGCUUGUAGUACUGUUGGUUCACUGGAAGGAAUUAUCGAUUCUCUGUCGUCUACUGUGGAGGAAUUAACAGAUCUGGCUAAACAGAGAAUUACUACAUUAGAAGGCCCUAUUUGUUCUAAACACAACGUGUUUCACACCAUAACGCCCAUCUCUACCAACGCAACACAAAUCAGAGAAA
Molecule: long non-coding RNA, 247 nt
Organism: Limulus polyphemus (Atlantic horseshoe crab)
Lineage: Eukaryota; Metazoa; Arthropoda; Merostomata; Xiphosura; Limulidae
Exons: 3
Source: RefSeq, a predicted model, not a curated record